Molecule: ribosomal RNA, 253 nt
Filed under: uncultured bacterium
Lineage: Bacteria
Description: partial 16S ribosomal RNA
Rfam family: Bacterial small subunit ribosomal RNA
Source: RNAcentral
UACGUAGGGCGCAAGCGUUAUCCGGAAUCAUUGGGCGUAAAGAGCUCGUAGGCGGUUUGUCGCGUCUGCCGUGAAAGUCCGGGGCUCAACUCCGGAUCUGCGGUGGGUACGGGCAGACUAGAGUGAUGUAGGGGAGACUGGAAUUCCUGGUGUAGCGGUGGAAUGCGCAGAUAUCAGGAGGAACACCGGUGGCGAAGGCGGGUCUCUGGGCCGUUACUGACGCUGAGGAGCGAAAGCGUGGGGAGCGAACAGG